GACGAACGCUGGCGGCGUGCCUAAUACAUGCAAGUCGAACGCACAGUUUAUACCGUAGCUUGCUACACCAUAAACUGUGAGUUGCGAACGGGUGAGUAACGCGUAGGUAACCUGCCUGGUAGCGGGGGAUAACUAUUGGAAACGAUAGCUAAUACCGCAUAAUAUUAAUUAUUGCAUGAUAAUUGAUUGAAAGAUGCAAUUGCAUCACUACCAGAUGGACCUGCGUUGUAUUAGCUAGUAGGUGAGGUAACGGCUCACCUAGGCGACGAUACAUAGCCGACCUGAGAGGGUGAUCGGCCACACUGGGACUGAGACACGGCCCAGACUCCUACGGGAGGCAGCAGUAGGGAAUCUUCGGCAAUGGACGAAAGUCUGACCGAGCAACGCCGCGUGAGGGAAGAAGGUUUUCGGAUCGUAAAGCUCUGUUGUAAGAGAAGAACGGGUGUGAGAGUGGAAAGUUCACACUGUGACGGUAUCUUACCAGAAAGGGACGGCUAACUACGUG
Molecule: ribosomal RNA, 505 nt
Filed under: uncultured bacterium
Lineage: Bacteria
Description: partial 16S ribosomal RNA
Rfam family: Bacterial small subunit ribosomal RNA
Source: RNAcentral